This 427-nucleotide ribosomal RNA is filed under the name beta proteobacterium SCGC AAA278-F20. RNAcentral describes it as "partial 16S small subunit ribosomal RNA". It matches the Rfam family "Bacterial small subunit ribosomal RNA", at positions 354 to 772 of the family's 1533-position model. Lineage: Bacteria; Pseudomonadati; Pseudomonadota; Betaproteobacteria. The record is from RNAcentral.
GUGGGGAAUUUUGGACAAUGGGCGCAAGCCUGAUCCAGCCAUGCCGCGUGUGUGAAGAAGGCCUUCGGGUUGUAAAGCACUUUUGGNNGGGAGGAAGGGGUUUGGGUUAAUACCUUGGGNUAUUGACGNUACCGGCAGAAUAAGCACCGGCUAACUNCGUGCCAGCAGCCGCGGUAAUACGUAGGGUGCAAGCGUUAAUCGGAAUUACUGGGCGUAAAGCGCGCGCAGGCGGUUCGNUAAGUCAGAUGUGAAAUCCCCGGGCUCAACCUGGGAACUGCAUUUGAAACUGNCNNGCUAGAGUNUGGUAGAGGGGGGUGGAAUUCCNCGUGUAGCNGUGAAAUGCGUAGAUAUGNGGAGGAACACCGAUGGCGAAGGCAGCCCCCUGGACNAAUACUGACGCUCAUGCUGCGAAAGCGUGGGGAGCAAA